GACAGAGGGUGCAAACGUUGUUCGGAUUUACUGGGCGUAAAGCGCGUGUAGGCGGCUUGGCAAGUCGGAUGUGAAAGCCCACGGCUCAACCGUGGAAGCGCAUCCGAAACGGCCUCGCUCGAGUCUCGGAGAGGAAGGUGGAAUGCUUGGUGUAGAGGUGAAAUUCGUAGAUAUCAAGCAGAACAUCAGUGGCGAAGGCGGCCAUCUGGGACAACACUGACGCUGAAGCACGAAAGCGUGGGGAGCAAACAGG
RNAcentral lists this ribosomal RNA (253 nucleotides) under uncultured bacterium. Its description in RNAcentral is "partial 16S ribosomal RNA". It matches the Rfam family "Bacterial small subunit ribosomal RNA", at positions 524 to 776 of the family's 1533-position model. The record is from RNAcentral.